CACGCUGUAAACGAUGAAUACUAGGUGUCUGCGGGCGACCGUAGGUGCCGGCGCUAACGCAAUAAGUAUUCCGCCUGGGGAGUACGGCCGCAAGGCUAAAACUCAAAGGAAUUGACGGGGACCCGCACAAGCAGCGGAGCAUGUUGUUUAAUUCGAAGCAACGCGAAGAACCUUACCAAAUCUUGACAUCCCUCUGCCGUGCACUGUAGUGGUGCAUUUCCCUUCGGGGACAGAGGAGACAGGUGG
Molecule: ribosomal RNA, 246 nt
Filed under: uncultured Guggenheimella sp.
Lineage: Bacteria; Bacillati; Bacillota; Clostridia; Peptostreptococcales; Guggenheimellaceae
Description: partial 16S ribosomal RNA
Rfam family: Bacterial small subunit ribosomal RNA
Source: RNAcentral